AUGAGUAAUGAGUUACAGAGAUAGUCUGAAGGCAUGGAUACUCAGUCUAUACUGCUCAAUCUAAAAGAGCACUAGGAUGUUUUGAAUAAAAAAAAAUUAAAUAUCAAUUUUUCUGCUACACUAUCUGGAACCCUACAUGAGGAACUUGAUACACCCAAUUUGCUAGAUGACUUCUCUUAUUAUCAAGUGCUUGAUGACGACGAUAUAUGUAAGCUGUGAUAAAGACUAGAAGAAGCGAAGGUAGAAGAGGAAGGGGAGGAA
This 261-nucleotide long non-coding RNA is filed under the name Elaeis guineensis (African oil palm). RNAcentral describes it as "long non-coding RNA (EGUI_LNC049998)". The record is from RNAcentral. Lineage: Eukaryota; Viridiplantae; Streptophyta; Magnoliopsida; Arecales; Arecaceae.